GAUGAACGCUGGCGGCGUGCCUAAUACAUGCAAGUCGAGCGAACAGACGAGGAGCUUGCUCCUCUGACGUUAGCGGCGGACGGGUGAGUAACACGUGGAUAACCUACCUAUCAGACUGGGAUAACUUCGGGAAACCGGAGCUAAUACCGGAUAAUAUAUUGAACCGCAUUGUUCAAUAGUGAAAGACGGUUUUGCUGUCACUUAUAGAUGGAUCCGCGCCGCAUUAGCUAGUUGGUAAGGUAACGGCUUAACAAGGCAACGAUGCGUAGCCGACCUGAGAGGGUGGUCGGCCACACUGGAACUGAGACACGGUCCAGACUCCUACGGGAGGCAGCAGUAGGGAAUCUUCCGCAAUGGGCGAAAGCCUGACGGAGCAACGCGGCGUGAGUGAUGAAGGUCUUCGGAUCGUAAAACUCUGUUAUUAGGGAAGAACAAAUGUGUAAGUAACUAUGCACGUCUUGACGGUACCUAAUGAGAAAGCCACGGCUAACUACGUG
RNAcentral lists this ribosomal RNA (497 nucleotides) under uncultured bacterium. Its description in RNAcentral is "partial 16S ribosomal RNA". It matches the Rfam family "Bacterial small subunit ribosomal RNA", at positions 28 to 507 of the family's 1533-position model. The record is from RNAcentral.